CAGUAGCCACGGUAAUGCGUAGGGUGCAAGCGUUAAUCGGAAUUACUGGGCGUAAAGCGUGCGCAGGCGGUUUGUUAAGACAGAUGUGAAAUCCCCGGGCUCAACCUGGGAACUGCAUUUGUGACUGGCAAGCUAGAGUGUGGCAGAGGGGGGUGGAAUUCCGCGUGUAGCAGUGAAAUGCGUAGAUAUGCGGAGGAACACCGAUGGCGAAGGCAGCCCCCUGGGCCAACACUGACGCUCAUGCACGAAAGCGUGGGGAGCAAACAGGAUUAGAUACCCGGGUAGUCCCUGUCUCUUAUAC
RNAcentral lists this ribosomal RNA (301 nucleotides) under uncultured bacterium. RNAcentral's name for it is "partial 16S ribosomal RNA". It matches the Rfam family "Bacterial small subunit ribosomal RNA", at positions 509 to 807 of the family's 1533-position model. The record is from RNAcentral.